This 1444-nucleotide unclassified non-coding RNA is filed under the name Hevea brasiliensis (rubber tree). Lineage: Eukaryota; Viridiplantae; Streptophyta; Magnoliopsida; Malpighiales; Euphorbiaceae. The record is from RNAcentral.
CCUUUCUUUUCUUUUCUUUUCUUCUUCUUUCUCUUCCUUUUUUCACCAUUUUCCUCGUUAUCACCCUCAGUCACUAAAUCCUCUUCAUUUUUCUCCUCACUUCUUUUGUUCUUUUCGCCUCUGUCAUCAUUUAUACUCUUUUGUGCACUAUCAAAUCCUUGCAAAGAGAGGGUCUUCCUUCUUUUCUCCCUCUUUGACAAUUUGGGCCUAUGUUUUGCUGCUUCUAUAAGCUCUUGAAGCCGCGAAUUACCUUCUUGGUCUAUUGAUGAUUCCUUGCCAUUCGGGUUUGGCCCACCAGAUACUUUGGCCGCUAAAGAUUCUGCCUUUGCUUCUCUCAGCUUCUGCUUUAGCUUCUUGUUUGAUAACACCAUUACUGCUCUGCAGGCAAAAACCCUAACUCAGGGUUUAUAGUUCUGCUUCUGCUUUUAUAAAUUGCGACCGUUUAUAAGAUUAGAAAACGGUGUCGUGUCAGCCACUAAUAAAAAGUGGAUAGCACUAGAGGAUCGUUAAACAGAUAACAUUUCCUCUGCUCACCAUGGCAACGUGUACCUUCCUCUUCAGCAAUUCCCAAAUAAGAGGAUGGAGGCCUUUAGUACACAAGAAACACAAAUUCAAUAUUUCUGAAAGGUUCAUGUGUCCUACAAGAGGAAACCCAAGUGAGGGAUAUCAGGUGUCACGGUCUAGCAUGCAUUGCUCUGCAAUCAACAUUGAACAGUUGCCAACAUAUGCAACCAUUGCAGACAGGCCAUUAAAUGGUGUUGAGGAUGUCAGAAGUAUCAAUUUCAAUGUACUAGAAGCAUCCAAAGCUACCUCAAAAUUCAUUCAGAGUUUGACACUGGCAGAUUUAGACACUGCCACAGCAAAGCUAGCAAUUGGUAUUUUGGGGCCAUUUCUCUCAGCAUUUGGUUUUCUGUUUAUUUUGAGAAUAGUAAUGUCCUGGUACCCAAAGCUACCUGUUGGAAAAUUUCCAUAUAUAAUAGCUUAUGCUCCCACAGAACCAAUCCUCAUUCCAACCCGUAAGGUGAUUCCACCGGUGGGAGGAGUGGAUGUGACUCCUGUGGUCUGGUUUGGAUUGAUAAGUUUCCUAAGUGAAAUACUGGUUGGCCCUCAAGGACUUCUCGUUCUUCUUUCUCAACAAGUUAACUGAUGUGCUUACUUUGAGAGGAGGAAGAAAGUACAUUGAUCAUUUUCAUUUUCGUAAAGUGAGAUUUCAUGGUUGUAAAUGUAAACAUGUGAAUUGUGAUUACUGAUUUCCUUUAUAUAACCAUCAUAUACUGAUGGUUCUUAACCGAAUAAAACGAUCAACAACUAGAAAUACUAAUCAUUUGUCUGCACGUUGCGCGAGUUUUUAAAUUUCUCAAAUAAUGAUUAUAUAAAAUUCAAGAGUCACUCUUUUGUUUUUUUAGUAUUUUUAAUUGUUCAUAUUUAUAGAUUCUACACAAUU